This 479-nucleotide ribosomal RNA is filed under the name uncultured bacterium. Its description in RNAcentral is "partial 16S ribosomal RNA". It matches the Rfam family "Bacterial small subunit ribosomal RNA", at positions 28 to 507 of the family's 1533-position model. The record is from RNAcentral.
GAUGAACGCUAGCGGGAGGCCUAACACAUGCAAGCCGAGCGGUAGAGUUCCUUCGGGAACUUGAGAGCGGCGUACGGGUGCGUAACACGUGUACAACCUACCUUUAUCUGGGGGAUAGCCUUUCGAAAGGAAGAUUAAUACCCCAUAAUAUAAUGAUUGGCAUCAAUUAUUAUUGAAAACUCCGGUGGAUAGAGAUGGGCACGCGCAAGAUUAGAUAGUUGGUGAGGUAACGGCUCACCAAGUCAAUGAUCUUUAGGGGUCCUGAGAGGGAGAUCCCCCACACUGGUACUGAGACACGGACCAGACUCCUACGGGAGGCAGCAGUGAGGAAUAUUGGACAAUGGGUGAAAGCCUGAUCCAGCCAUCCCGCGUGAAGGAUGACGGUCCUAUGGAUUGUAAACUUCUUUUGUACAGGGAUAAACCUACUCUCGUGAGGGUAGCUGAAGGUACUGUACGAAUAAGCACCGGCUAACUCCGUG